This 579-nucleotide ribosomal RNA is filed under the name Pseudozyma hubeiensis. RNAcentral describes it as "partial large subunit ribosomal RNA". It matches the Rfam family "Eukaryotic large subunit ribosomal RNA", at positions 74 to 637 of the family's 3401-position model. Lineage: Eukaryota; Fungi; Basidiomycota; Ustilaginomycetes; Ustilaginales; Ustilaginaceae. The record is from RNAcentral.
AUUCCCUAGUACGGCGAGUGAAGAGGGAAGAGCCCAAGAUUGAAAGCUGGCGCCUUCGGCGUCCGCAUUGUAAUCUCAAGAAGUGUUUUCCGCUUCGGACCAUGCCUAAGUCCCUUGGAAAAGGGCAUCAUAGAGGGUGAUAAUCCCGUACAUGGCAUGGAGCGCCCGAAGCUUUGUGAUACGCUUUCUAAGAGUCGAGUUGUUUGGGAAUGCAGCUCAAAAUGGGUGGUAAAUGCCAUCUAAGGCUAAAUAUUGGGGAGAGACCGAUAGCGAACAAGUACAGUGAUGGAAAGAUGAAAAGAACUUUGAAAAGAGAGUUAAACAGUACGUGAAAUUGCCAAAAGGGAAGGGUAGGAGGUCAGAGAUGCGUCGCAGGAUUCAGCCUUGCUUUUGCUUGGUGUUUUUCCUGCGUUGCAGGCCAACGUCGGUUUUGGGCACUGGAGAAGGGUAGGAGGAACGUGGCACCUCUCGGGGUGUGUUAUAGCCUCCUACUGGAUACAGCGACCGAGACCGAGGAACGCAGCGUACUCGUAAGAGCGGGCCUUUUGGCACCUUUAGCUUAGGGCGUUGGCAUAAUGG